Molecule: long non-coding RNA, 2783 nt
Organism: Oreochromis niloticus (Nile tilapia)
Lineage: Eukaryota; Metazoa; Chordata; Actinopteri; Cichliformes; Cichlidae
Exons: 3
Source: RefSeq, a predicted model, not a curated record
CAACCAAUGGACAGGGAGCAGCUGCCACUGAGAUUCAAGAUUUUUAUUUGCCAUUUGCUCACAGGACCAACAGUCCAUGCACACUGGAAAUGUUUUUGCAGACCUCUCCAGGACAAGUCACAUUUAAAAAAAAGAAGAAGAAGAAGAAGAAGGAACCAACCUGGACCUCCACCCAGCUCUGUGUCCUUAAAGAGUGAGUGGUCUGAAGACCGGCCCAUUUAUUUUGAAGUCCAGCCUCUGUCUGCUGCAGAGAAGUUUGCUGUCAGUAACAUGAACUCUUUGAUUUAACUGCUUGAUGCUGUUUUUGCUGCAGUGCAAACACGUCAUUCCCUCAUUCCCAUUUAAACUGUGUCUUAAAAAACAAGCCUUUGGUUUCUAAACAAUCAGAAUCCACUUCAGCAAACAGGAAAUGAUCAGUGACAACUAGUGCAACAUUUCCAGUGUAAGGCUGUCUCACCGCCAGCCACAGAAAACAUCACCACAUUUAAUGUACAAAGUAAAGACAUCAAAAACACACUCUGCAUUUUUAUUCUAAUGUAAACUAAUGCAGUGAGUAGCACACUGAAAGACUUCUUAUGUGGUCCCCUCAAAAGAGGAAUUCUGUAUCUGUAAAUGGAUCAUGGACUUUCUGACCAACAGACCCCAGCAUGUUAGGUCAGGGCAUAACAAUUCUACCAACAUCACACUACCAACAUCAGAGGGCUGUGCGCUGAGUUCAUUCCUCUAUGAAUGCAGACCUAGGUAUGGAUCCAACUCCAUCAUCAAGUCUGCAGAUGACACCAUGGUGACUGUCUCAUCAGUGACAAUGAUGAGUCUGCUACAGGGAACUUCAGGAGGGAGAAAACAGACACCCAUGUCCCCAUUUACAUAAAUGGCACAGCUGUUGAACGGGUCUCCAGCUUCAAGGUCUUGGGGACCCACAUCUCUGAGAAUCUGACCUGGUCAACUAACACCUCCAGCCUGGUCAAGAAGGGCCAUCAGCGCCUCUUUUUCUUCAGGACGCUGAAGAAGAACCACCUGUCUACUGACAUAUUGGCUAACUUCUACCGCUGUGCGAUACAGAGCAUCCUGGCCAACUGUGCCACGGUCUGGUAUGGAAAUUGCUACGUUGCUGACCACAAGGCACUGCAGCGGGUGGUGAAAACACGUCACAGGGACUCUACUUCCCGCCAUUGAGGAUGUCCACAAGAAGAGAUGUCUAUGCCGAGCACGCAUCAUUCUCAGGGACUCCUCUCAUCCUGCCAAUAAACUCUUCCAGCUCCUCCCCUCCAGGAGGUGCUACAGGAGCCUUCAGACUAAAACCAGCAGGUUUAGGAACAGCUUCUUCCCCACAGCUGUCACUCUACUGAACUCAGUCCCCUGCUGAACCUUUCCAUCCACACCCCCUAUCCCCCCUUAGUGACCAUGAUCAUAACUGUCAUUCAUUCUCAACAUUCACCAUAUGCACACAUUGGUUACUGCUAUAGUUUAGGACACUGACAUAGUGUAGUCUCUGUUAUAGUGCGUACACUGUUAUCUAUUAUAGUCUGCUCAGAGAGCUACGCUUCCACUGCAGUAUCUGUAUGUUUGUUCAUAGUACAUCUUUAUAUCUGCCCAUCUGUAUAGCAGUAUAGAACAUCUGUAUGCUAUACAGAUCAUCUGUAUAUCUCUACAUAUGUAUACACUGUACAUCUGUACAUUUGUCUGCAGUUCAUCUGUAUAUUUGUCUCUCUGUACAUAAACUGUUUAUAACUAUUUCACCAUUUACACUACCCUUAUCUGUAUAUAUCAGUACAUCUAUAUAUUUGCUUAUUGCACCUACUGCUCUUGCACUUCUGAUUAGAUGCAAACUUUAUUUUGCUACCCUGUAUUUAUUCAUGUGUGAUUACAUUAAAGUGGAAUCAUAUCCUAUCUUACCAGAAUUGUGGACUAGAAUAUGUUUGAGAUGCCUCUGAGGAUGUUUAGUAAGAAAAAACAUUACAUCAUAAAUAUUAAGGUGCUCUACUGGAGUGAAGCAACUGGAAAGCUGCACAAGCAGAAAUGAACGUUCACUUUUCAGCAACUAUUAUAGUGGAGCCUGAACCUACAGUGAGUGCAGCUCUGCAGCCAGAUCUGUGAGCUGAACUAAGUGGCAGCAACAUAAGCAUAUUUUAUAUUUUUUCACAAUUUUAAGCUGUUUUUAAGGAAUCACAUCAUGAGAUUGGUGUAACUGGGGAGGUGCGAGAAUGCAUCUGGAAACAGAAAUAAAAUUGCCUAAUACAGGGGUGAGGAACUCCAGGUCUCAAGGGCCGGUCUCCUGCAGGAUUUAGAUGUGUCCUUGAUCCAUUAAAGCUGAUUUAAAUUGCUAAAUUACCUUCUAAUGGUGGGUGUGCGUGUAUGUGUCCUGGUCGGCUGUCUGCGGCCCGGGACGGUGAGACUCCCCCUCAACAUGUCUUAAAGUUCUCCAGAGGCCUAAAAAUAAACUAAUCAUUUGAUUCAGGUGUGUUCACCAGGGUGAGAUCUAAAACAUGCAGGACACCGGCCCUUGAGGCCCGGAGUUCCCCACCCCUGGCUUAAUAUAUCUGGGACACAAUUUAAAGCUUUACAAACUUAAUUACGAUUAUGUUGUCUGAGAACUAACACAGAGCAGAAAACGUACAUUUUGAUUGAGCUAAUUUUUUAUUAUUCCUCCACAGAUUGGACCAGCAGAGCUCAGAGGUUCCCAGUGGUCAGUCUGCCCAGCAGCAUCAAACACAGCUGGACUCCAUAUUUAUGGUUUGUACAUGUACAACAACUACUUUUACAUCUAUUCUGUUCACAUUCAU